Tarenaya hassleriana is the source of this 1195-nucleotide RNA transcript. It is a transcript of the gene named transcription factor bHLH101, with no coding region annotated. The transcript is spliced from 4 exons. The record is from RefSeq and is a predicted model, not a curated record. NCBI's taxonomy places the organism in Eukaryota, Viridiplantae, Streptophyta, Magnoliopsida, Brassicales, Cleomaceae.
UUGGCUUCAAUCUUCUUCUUCCCGUAACCAUCAAACCAAGCAUACAAUUUCUCUUUCUUGUGAAAAAAAAAAAUGUGUGCAUUGACACCAAUGUUUCCGACAAGGCUUGGAUGGGCUCCAAUGGAGUAUCCAUUGAUGUCCAAAGCAGAAUCUUUCCUCGGUCCUUUAAAUUCUGUUGCUGAAACCGAUCAGAAUAACUGUAAGGAUGCGGCAAUGAAGAAGCUUAGCCACAAUGCGAGUGAACGUGACCGCCGCAAGAAACUCAACUCCUUGUAUUCUUCUCUCCGGUCUCUCUUGCCUCGUUCCGACCACACGCAGAAGAAGCUGAGCAUUCCGGGGACAGUAUCGUAUGUUCUAAAGUACAUACCUGAGCUCAGACAAGAAGUCGAACGGAUGUGCAGGAAGAAGGAACAACUCUUGAAGAGAAUCUCAAGACAAGGGCCUGUCUCCUCAGCUCAUGAACAUGAACAACACAUGCAGAGGCCGACGAACAAAGAUCUCUCUCCGAUGAUUCUGACAUCUCGGCUCACUGACACGGAAUUCGCUGUCCAGAUUGCGAAUCUGAACAAAUCUCAGAUUUCAGAUACAUUGCUUGGUCUAGAAGAAAGCUCCAUGGAAGUGAUAAGUGUAUCUUCUUCGGUUUAUUCAAACACACGAGUGAUGCACACUUUGCAUCUGCAGAUGGAUGGAGAUUGCGUGGUGAAGGCUGAAGAACUGAGUGAUGUGAUCUUGGCAUUGCAGGAGAAGCAAUAUCAAUGGCGUCAGUAGCCAAGUCAGCCAUGAAUAUGCAGAGGAAUUUGGGGACUCUCUAUGCAUGGUGGUGAAAAACACGAGAAGCAACAUCAAUCACUUCCUUAGUUCUGUCUCUUCAAGUUAAGGUUUCGCAUUCAUAAACGCAGUGGUUCUUCUUCCCUGCUGUAUCAGCACGGACCAAGAGUUCGAUUUUUCCUGAGCUAUUUUCAAACGGGAAAGCACAAAGAUAUAUAUAGAAUUACAAUACCAGUUGAAAACAUAUGUUUUAUCAUCUGAUUGUGUGAAGAAAGCCGAGUCACUGUACAGUUUACCGACAAGAAUGGCGGUGUAGACAGAGUCCGGGGACAAGAUUUUCCGCACAUUUUAUCUGUGGAUACGAAUGGAACUGUACCGAUUCUUAGAAUGGCCUUUGAAGGUUGCCAUGGAAGGCACCCCUUCUUUA